CGACCGGCGCACGGGUGAGUAACGCGUAUCCAACCUGCCUUACACUCUUGGACAGCCUUCUGAAAGGGAGAUUAAUACAAGAUGUUAUCAUGAGUAAGCAUUUUCGCAUGAUUGAAGGUUUACCGGUGUAAGAUGGGGAUGCGUUCCAUUAGAUAGUAGGCGGGGUAACGGCCCACCUAGUCUUCGAUGGAUAGGGGUUCUGAGAGGAAGGUCCCCCACAUUGGAACUGAGACACGGUCCAA
This 242-nucleotide ribosomal RNA is filed under the name uncultured bacterium. Its description in RNAcentral is "partial 16S ribosomal RNA". It matches the Rfam family "Bacterial small subunit ribosomal RNA", at positions 92 to 334 of the family's 1533-position model. The record is from RNAcentral.